GACGAACGCUGGCGGCGUGCCUAAUACAUGCAAGUAGAACGCUGAAGGAGGAGCUUGCUUCUCUGGAUGAGUUGCGAACGGGUGAGUAACGCGUAGGUAACCUGCCUGGUAGCGGGGGAUAACUAUUGGAAACGAUAGCUAAUACCGCAUAAGAGUAGAUGUUGCAUGACAUUUGCUUAAAAGGAGCAAUUGCAUCACUACCAGAUGGACCUGCGUUGUAUUAGCUAGUUGGUGGGGUAACGGCUCACCAAGGCGACGAUACAUAGCCGACCUGAGAGGGGGAUCGGCCACACUGGGACUGAGACACGGCCCAGACUCCUACGGGAGGCAGCAGUAGGGAAUCUUCGGCAAUGGACGGAAGUCUGACCGAGCAACGCCGCGUGAGUGAAGAAGGUUUUCGGAUCGUAAAGCUCUGUUGUAAGAGAAGAACGAGUGUGAGAGUGGAAAGUUCACACUGUGACGGUAUCUUACCAGAAAGGGACGGCUAACUACGUG
This 495-nucleotide ribosomal RNA is filed under the name uncultured bacterium. Its description in RNAcentral is "partial 16S ribosomal RNA". It matches the Rfam family "Bacterial small subunit ribosomal RNA", at positions 28 to 507 of the family's 1533-position model. The record is from RNAcentral.